This 522-nucleotide ribosomal RNA is filed under the name uncultured Desmospora sp. RNAcentral's name for it is "bacterial SSU rRNA". It matches the Rfam family "Bacterial small subunit ribosomal RNA", at positions 18 to 507 of the family's 1533-position model. The record is from RNAcentral. Lineage: Bacteria; Bacillati; Bacillota; Bacilli; Caryophanales; Thermoactinomycetaceae.
CCUGGCUCAGGACAACGGCUGGCGGCGUGCCAAUACAUGCAAGUCGAGCGGACCGACUGGAGAGCUUGCUCUCCUCGAAGUCAGCGGCGAACGGGUGAGGUAACACGUAGGGCGAACCUAGCCCGCCAAGAACUGGGAGUAACUCCGGAAACCGGGGCCGUAAUAACCCAGAUAGGAUCUACCCUCGCAUGAGGGAAGGAUGAAAAGGACGGCCUCGGCUGUCACUUGCGGAUGGGCCCGCGGCGCAUUAGCUAGUUGGUGAGGUAGAGGCUCACCAAGGCGACGAUGCGUAGCCGACCUGAGAGGGUGACCGGCCACACUGGGACUGAGACACGGCCCAGACUCCUACGGGAGGCAGCAGUAGGGAAUUUUCGUCAAUGGGCGCAAGCCUGAACGAGCAACGCCGCGUGAGUGAGGACGGCUUUCGGGUUGUAAAGCUCUGUUCUUCGGGAAGAACGGCAGAAGGGUAAAUAAUCCUUUUGCGUGACGGUACCGGAGAAGAAAGCCCCGGCUAACUACGUG